AUACGGAGGAUCCGAGCGUUAUCCGGAUUUAUUGGGUUUAAAGGGUGCGCAGGCGGCCAUUUAAGUCAGCGGUUAAAUCGUGGGGCUCAACCCCAUUCUGCCGUUGAUACUGGGUGGCUUGAUUGCGGUCGAGGUUGGCGGAAUUCGUUGUGUCGCGGUGAAAUGCAUAGAUAUGACGAAGAACACCGAUUGCGUAGGCAGCUGACCAUACCGCAAAUGACGCUCAUUCACGAAAGUGCGGGGAUCGAACAGGAUUAGAUACCCUUGUAGUUCGCACAGUAAACGAUGAAUACUUGUUUUCGGCGAUAUAAUGUCGGAGGCAAAGCGAAAGCGAUAAGUAUUCCACCUGGGGAGUACGCCGGCAACGGUGAAACUCAAAUGAAUUGACGGGG
This 392-nucleotide ribosomal RNA is filed under the name uncultured bacterium. Its description in RNAcentral is "partial 16S ribosomal RNA". It matches the Rfam family "Bacterial small subunit ribosomal RNA", at positions 523 to 918 of the family's 1533-position model. The record is from RNAcentral.